Molecule: non-coding RNA, 30 nt
Filed under: Homo sapiens (human)
Lineage: Eukaryota; Metazoa; Chordata; Mammalia; Primates; Hominidae
Source: RNAcentral
UCCAAGCCACAUUUUGAAAUGCCUGCCAGA